AAAUAAGAAGCAAAUAGAUGCAUUUAGUUUCGACCUAAAAAUUUGAUUWAUAUCCUUAUUUU
RNAcentral lists this transfer RNA (62 nucleotides) under Calomicrus fallax. RNAcentral describes it as "tRNA-Arg". Lineage: Eukaryota; Metazoa; Arthropoda; Insecta; Coleoptera; Chrysomelidae. The record is from RNAcentral.